GGUGUUGUGGCUCAGUGGUAGAGCGCUCGCCUGGAGUAUGCAAGGCCCUGGGUUCGAUUCUCAGCACCACAU
This 72-nucleotide transfer RNA is filed under the name Ictidomys tridecemlineatus (thirteen-lined ground squirrel). Its description in RNAcentral is "Spermophilus tridecemlineatus (thirteen-lined ground squirrel) tRNA". It matches the Rfam family "tRNA". Rfam says of the family: Transfer RNA (tRNA) molecules are approximately 80 nucleotides in length. Their secondary structure includes four short double-helical elements and three loops (D, anti-codon, and T loops). The record is from Rfam by way of RNAcentral. Lineage: Eukaryota; Metazoa; Chordata; Mammalia; Rodentia; Sciuridae.